RNAcentral lists this ribosomal RNA (913 nucleotides) under uncultured archaeon. Its description in RNAcentral is "bacterial SSU rRNA". It matches the Rfam family "Archaeal small subunit ribosomal RNA", at positions 1 to 878 of the family's 1478-position model. The record is from RNAcentral.
UGCUCCCCCGCCAAUCCUUUUCCGGCAGGAUCAACCGGAUUCCGGUUGAUCCUGCCGGAGGUCAUUGCUAUUGGAGUCCGAUUUAGCCAUGCUAGUCGCGCGGGUUCAGACCCGCGGCAUAUAGCUCAGUAACACGUGGCCAAACUACCCUAUGGACAGGGACAACCUCGGGAAACUGAGGCUAAUCCCUGAUACAGCUCUCGUGCUGGAGUGCAGAGAGCUGGAAACGCUCCGGCGCCAUAGGAUGUGGCUGCGGCCGAUUAGGUAGAUGGUGGGGUAACGGCCCACCAUGCCAAUAAUCGGUACAGGUUGUGAGAGCAAGAGCCUGGAGACGGUAUCUGAGACAAGAUACCGGGCCCUACGGGGCGCAGCAGGCGCGAAACCUUUACACUGCACGACAGUGCGAUAAGGGGACUCCGAGUGCGAGGGCAUAUAGCCCUCGCUUUUCUGUACCGUAGGGAGGUACAGGAACAAGUGCUGGGCAAGACCGGUGCCAGCCGCCGCGGUAAUACCGGCAGCACGAGUGAUGACCGAUAUUAUUGGGCCUAAAGCGUCCGUAGCCGGCCAAACAAGUCCGUUGGGAAAUCCACGCGCUCAACGCGUGGGCGUCCGGCGGAAACUGUUUGGCUUGGGGCCGGAAGACCUGAGGGGUACGUCCGGGGUAGGAGUGAAAUCCUGUAAUCCUGGACGGACCACCGUUGGCGAAAGCGCCUCAGGAAGACGGACCCGACGGUGAGGGACGAAAGCUAGGGUCUCGAACCGGAUUAGAUACCCGGGUAGUCCUAGCUGUAAACGAUGCUCGCUAGGUGUGCCACAGGCUACGAGCCUGUGCUGCGCCCUAGGGAAGCCGAGAAGCGAGCCGCCUGGGAAGUACGUCUGCAAGGAUGAAACUUAAAGGAUUGGCGGGGGAGCA